RNAcentral lists this long non-coding RNA (257 nucleotides) under Mustela putorius furo (domestic ferret). Its description in RNAcentral is "lncRNA (ENSMPUG00000024384.1)". The record is from RNAcentral. Lineage: Eukaryota; Metazoa; Chordata; Mammalia; Carnivora; Mustelidae.
UUCUGUUGCUGGCGUGGCAAUAAUCUGUGGACAAAAGGCCUAAUACGAAUACUACCACUUUUUUCUAAAGCUGUGCUCCUAAAGGCAAUUUGAGGACACUUCCUACUUAGAUCAAGGACAUUAUUCAGUUUGACAAGAUUGGUCAAGCCACAGUUCGUGCCUACCCAGCCUGUGACCGAGAAUUUCUAUCCCUGAUGCAUGGUCCGUUUGGAGUCUCCAAGCCCAGCAGAUUCCUACCACGUACUCCUGCACCAUUC